GAUCAAGUUAAGAUGCGGUCAAUAGGGUGGGCCCUAAUCCAAUAUGACUGUGUCCUUAUGGAAAGGGAAAAUGUGGCUACGGGGACAGACAUGCGCAUAGGAGGAAGGCCCUGUGAAGAUGAAGGCAGGGACCAGGGGAUGCUUCCUCACACAAAGGAAUGCCCAAGAGUGCCAGCAGCCACCAGAAACUAGGAGAGGCACCUGGAAAGAUUCUCCCACCCUGCCCUCGGGAGGAACCCACCUUCGGUCCUUGAUCUUGGACCUCUCCUCCCUAGACCUGUGGGGGAAUAAAUUCCUCUUGUUUAGGACUCGCGCUCUGUGAUGCUCUGUUGUGGCAGAGUCUAGGGAAACCAACACAGAAGUGGAAGCUGACCUUCCACCUCUCUAUGCACACGGGCGACCUGAGCCGACUGCUGGGCCCUCAGGGGCAAGUGCUGUCCUGUCCACCUCCAGUGAGUACUGCCCAGGGCCACAUCCCAAGAUGGGCCACAGAAGAGUCACUAGCUGUCUCUCCACCUGCCAGUCAUAAAGGUACUGAUGUCACCUUGAGCCAAAGGAAAACAAC
Molecule: long non-coding RNA, 565 nt
Filed under: Homo sapiens (human)
Lineage: Eukaryota; Metazoa; Chordata; Mammalia; Primates; Hominidae
Description: HSALNT0253374
Source: RNAcentral